UACGGAGGGGGCUAGCGUUGUUCGGAAUUACUGGGCGUAAAGCGCACGUAGGCGGCUUUGCAAGUUAGAGGUGAAAGCCCAGGGCUCAACCCUGGAAUUGCCUUUAAAACUGCAUCGCUAGAAUUGUGGAGAGGUAAGUGGAAUUCCGAGUGUAGAGGUGAAAUUCGUAGAUAUUCGCAAGAACACCAGUGGCGAAGGCGGCUCACUGGCCCGAUACUGACGCUGAGGCACGAAAGCGUGGGGAGCAAACAGG
This 253-nucleotide ribosomal RNA is filed under the name uncultured bacterium. Its description in RNAcentral is "partial 16S ribosomal RNA". It matches the Rfam family "Bacterial small subunit ribosomal RNA", at positions 524 to 776 of the family's 1533-position model. The record is from RNAcentral.